Beta vulgaris subsp. vulgaris (sugar beet) is the source of this 4659-nucleotide RNA transcript. RefSeq lists it as hypothetical. NCBI's taxonomy places the organism in Eukaryota, Viridiplantae, Streptophyta, Magnoliopsida, Caryophyllales, Amaranthaceae. The record is from RefSeq and is a predicted model, not a curated record. The transcript has 6 exons.
ACACCCACCCUCAUUAAUCUCAAGAUCAACUCUCCUAAAUACUUCAAGAUUUUCCAUGUUAUGAUUGAAACAAAACAAAAUUUCAAGCUUUAUUAGUUGACUUCCACUUCCACCAACGACCAAAUUUGAUACAAAUCUCAGCUUUCCAACCCUUUUUUUAACUCCAAACUUAGCAUCCUUUCACUUAAAAUCCCAAACCUCCCUCAUCAAAUUUAAACCGCCAUUAUUAUCCAUUUUUCUUCUUCUUUCUCCCCACUUCUGUCUUCUGCAACUCCAAAACUUCCCCAGAAACUCAAAUUUCAUCCCACACACAAAAAAAAAAUGAACCAAAACAACAACAACAACAACAACAAUCAUCACCACAAUAACAAUAACCCAUCAAAAAUCUCCUCAUUCCAAGAAAAAAACAACCUCUUCAAUUUAAUCAAAUUCACUCUUCUUUUCUCUCUCCUCUUUUUCCUCUCCAUCUUCAUCUUAACUGCUCUCUCCUCCUCAAACCCUCCUUCCUCAACUCACCUCUUCUCUUCUCUCUCCUCCUUCAUCCCUUCCUCCUCCUGCAACAACAACAACAACAGCCUCUCAGACCCGAACCCAGGCCCGACCCAACUAACCCACAUCGUAUUCGGGCUCGGCGGGUCAUCCAAGACAUGGGAAGCCCGUCGGGCCUACUCCCAGCUAUGGUGGGACCCGAACCUAACCCGAGGCUACGUCUACCUAGACGACGACCCACCCGGAAACGGGCCCAAACCCGCCUUCCCACCUUACCGGGUCUCGAGCCGGGCCUGGUUCGGUCUCGGGUCGGGCCGGAAACACUCGGACUCGAACCGGAUGGCCCGGAUUUUGAAGGAGAGCUUUGAGUUGGGGUUGAGUAAUGUGAGGUGGUUUGUGAUGGGUGAUGAUGACACUGUGUUUUUUCCGGAGAAUUUAGUUAGGGUUUUGUCGAAGUAUGAUCAUCGUGAGAUGUAUUACAUCGGAGGAUCGAGUGAAAGUGUGGAGCAAGAUGUGAUGCACGGGUAUGAAACUGGGUUUGGUGGUGGUGGAUUUGCAGUAAGUUAUGGAUUAGCUUGUGAAAUGGUUAGGAUUUUAGAUGGGUGUAUUAAAAGAUAUCAUGAUUUUUAUGGGUCUGAUGAGAAAGUUUCUGCUUGUGUUGCUGAACUUGGUGUUCCACUUACUAAAGAACCUGGUUUCCAUCAGCUUGACAUUAGAGGAGACCCCUAUGGUUUCCUAGCUGCACAUCCUGUGGCUCCCUUGGUGUCCCUCCACCAUCUUGUUGGUGCGCAGCCAUUGUUUCCAGGUGAAAAUCAGUUGGACUCCUUGAGAAGACUGUUGCGUGCAUACCACGUUGACCCGGGCCUCACCAUCCAGCAAAGUAUCUGCUACGAUCACAGCCGUAAAUGGUCGGUAUCCUUAUCUUGGGGCUACACCGUGCAGUUAUAUCCGUCCCUCAUCUCAUCCAAAGUCCUCGGUAUGCCUUUGCAGACAUUUCGCACCUGGCGUAGCGGUAGUGAGGGGCCUUUUGUGUUCAAUACCCGUCCUAUGAGGGAUGAUCCUUGCGAGAGGCCCAUCAUCUAUUACCUGGACCAAGUUAAGGAGACUGGUGAUGGUAAAACUAUAAGUACUUACAUGAGGGCUGCUGCCGCCGAUGGUAAAGAAUGUAUGCAAGAAGCUUACAAGGAUGCAGUUUUAGUGGAGAAUAUUACUGUAUCUGCUACCAAAACGGACCCUCAGAAGUGGAUGAAGGCAUCGCGAAGGGAGUGCUGCAACAUUAGAGAAAGCCAGACUCGGAACGGUAACAUGCGAAUACAGAUUAGAAGCUGUAAACCGAGGGAGACCAUUACUAUGUAAAGGAUAUAUCCUCUUUGAUUAAAGACGUGAAAACUACUCCGAAUGGAGAUGAUAUCCCCAGAGAUGAACUAUUUGAUGUAUUUUGCUCUCAGCCUCUCACCACCAGACCGCACUUUUUUUUUAUAUAUAUAAAGGAUAGAAACAAUUAGGCUAGCUCCCAAGAAAAGGGUCACCCUAAAGUAUCCUUACGGAUGAUUACAAUCACCAGACCGCACUACGUCUUGAACAUAUCUUUAACUCUGACAGUAAUAAAUUGAAGAGAAAGCAUGAGAAGAAAAUGAUUUAUCUUGUCAUAGGGUUUACCUGACGUUGGAGGUCAUUGCUCGACAUUCAGGGCAUAGUUUUCCUUAAAGAGAAUUUAGAGCUACUUCAUGUAAAGUUAGUAAGAUAUAUUCUUCGAGAAUGCUACAUCGACUUGGUGGGUAACUUAUUCAUUAGAGAUAGAAGGUUAGUCUUUUUUUCGGUUAUCCAUUUGGAUAAGAGUUUUGUUUUCCACGUUUUUGUCACAUACUACCUCUGUUUUUUUUAGUUGCAACGAUUAGACAUAAAGUGUGAGUAGAAAAUGUCUUAUUGUUGCAACUAAAAAAACAAAGGUAGUACAAUGUCGUUUGUGAAAUUAUGUAGAAUUAAGGUGUAUCUUUUUGUUUCGUCUUCAUUAAUAUCACCAUGUAAUAAAGUAGUUCACAAUAUGUUAAUAAAGUGUUGGCUGGAGGAAGAUAUACGCUAGAAAAAAAAAAGAUUUCGUUGUUUUUAUUUGUUCAUUUUUGUGCAUGAAAGUUAAUUUCCCUGAGAAUAGAAAAGGAGUUAUUUUCCUUUUCUUUUCCCCGUCUUCCCUUUUCAUUUUUUUCUCCCUAAUGUGUAAGCAGCCCAUCGAAAUGAGGGAACUAAUUUCUGAUUACUAUGAUUUUCUUGUAUAAUUGUUUUAUCCAAUUCAUACGAAUUAUUCCUAAUUAUUUCGUUGAGUACUUACAGUAUAGAAGUAGUAUGUAUUGAUUUGUUCAAUUUGCAUACAUAAACUUGGGAUGAACCUGAAGAACUUUGGGACAGUAACAACAUACAUGUUUCCAAGUUUAUUUGGAAAUUAUUGUCCAAUUCAUUUUCACAUCUGAUUAAUGUGAUAUUUGUUUCAAGAAAGAAAAUCUAUCCUUUCAUUGCUUUAUCUAUUGGCUAUGUAUGGGGAGGGGUGAGUUCACUCAUGGUACACUCAUGUGUACCAUAAACAUGAUACAUCCAGGGGUAUUUUUAUAAUAAAUUAGAACUUCAGGUGCUCAUUUGAUACCAAAUUUGCUCAUAUGGACAUUUUGUUCAUUUACUCAUUUGCUCAUUUUGUAAUAAAAGUGUUUGCUCCUUUUCUUAAAUGAGUGGAAAUGUUUGCUCAUUUGUUCAUUUUGCUCAUUUGGAGAAAAUAAUCUUAGGUGUACCAUGAGCAUGGUACACCCAAGUGUAGUAUACAUAUUCUCAAGUAUUUUAGUUACCUUAAAUAAUAAAAUGUUAAUAAAUUUCAGAUGCUAGAAUGAUUAGUAGUAUUUGAGUAGUACCUAAAAUAAAAUUUUGACCUUUUGAAAAUCAGGUAAUUGAAAUUUUGAAAAAUCUUUUUAAAAUUUUGAUGGCAACUAAUUUUGUCAAAAAAUUAUCAACUAAUUUUGUCAAAAAAUUUAUCAACUAAUUUUGCCAAAUUAGUAAAGCUAAUUAGAUAUUUUAUUAGUUUAAUAACCUUAUCAGUUUCAACUUUAUCUUAUCAAUUUCAGUUAACGUAUUAUUAUCAGUUAGUAUUGCCAAAAAGAACUAUUAUAGAAGGUGAGAGGAGAAAGAGAAAAGGAUAUAAGAUAUUUCAAAAACUAUUAAAAAACAACUAAAUUUUAAUAUAAAAAUAGACCUAAUCACUAAAUAGAUUAAAUUAGUCACCGAAAGAAAUUAACCUAAUUACCAUCAUGCUAAUUCUAUUUUUAAUAUUGCAUUUAUCAUUAUCUAAUUUUAAUUUAAAAGUAGACGGUUUCUUACAAGACAAAUUCAAGAUAUUUUACGAAUGGAGAUAUUAUGUGAGAAUUACAGGGGUUGCGUUAGCAACAUUUAUUAUUGAUAACUAUAUGCAUGUCGGUAAAGCCAGUGAGAGGUAAGAAGAGAACCAUAAGAAUACAACGUCAUAUUUUUAUUUCUUUUUGAGGGGAUGAAAUUCCGUAGAGAACAUGCAAACCACAAAAACAACAGGAAAAAAAACAAAUGAGUCAAAUUUGUGGACUAGAGAAAGACAUGGCCAAUAUAUUAUUUGUCGAGUAGCAAAACACAUGAAAAGUACAUAGUUUAUUUCCAAACAUUAUAAAUAGCACAAGUGAGUUUGUUCAUUAACAUCAACAAUUGAAUUUAAGAGCAUUUUCUUUGUCAUUAAUCUCCUGCAUAUAUAAAAUUCUUCUACUUUUACACUAUAUUCAUUAAUAUUCAAAGAUGGAUAACUCCAAGAGUGCAAGUGACAAAGUUGGUGACGCCAAGGAUCAAGCCCAGAACACAGCCGGCACGGUGACAGACAAGGCCGGAAGCAUGUUUCAAUCUGCUAAGGAAUCAGUAAUCGGGGCUGGUGAACAGGUGAAGACUAAGGCAGGUGAAGCUACUGAAGCUGUCAAGAAGGCCACUGGCAUGAACAAAUGAACCUAGCUACACCAACUCGCUUUCGAAAAAAUUGCAUAAGUUGUUUUAGUCUGUUCUUAUUUCCAAUCUUUAAUGUCUAAAUCGUGUAAAAGCUGUAAAAAUUUGCAGUUUCUGUAGCUUGUUUCCCUUUCUAAUCAAUGAAAUCAAAAGCUUUAUAGGCGCUUUCUCUUU